RNAcentral lists this ribosomal RNA (404 nucleotides) under uncultured bacterium. RNAcentral describes it as "bacterial SSU rRNA". It matches the Rfam family "Bacterial small subunit ribosomal RNA", at positions 355 to 775 of the family's 1533-position model. The record is from RNAcentral.
CAAGGAAUUUUGCGCAAUGGGCGAAAGCCUGACGCAGCGACGCCGCGUGGGGGAUGACGGCCUUCGGGUUGUAAACCCCUUUUCCCAAGGAAGAAUAAUGACGGUACUUGGGGAAUAAGUCUUGGCUAACUACGUGCCAGCAGCCGCGGUAAUACGUAGAAGGCGAACGUUAUUCGGAUUUACUGGGCGUAAAGCGGGCUAAGACGGUUCCUUAAGUCGGGUGUGAAAUCUCCUGACUCAAUUGGGAGAGGUCAUUCGAUACUAAGGGACUUGAGGACGGCAGAGGAAAGCGGAACUCCCGGUGUAGCGGUGAUAUGCGUAGAUAUCGGGAGGAACACCAGUGGCGAAGGCGGCUUUCUAGGUCGUACCUGACGUUGAGGCCCAAAAGCGUGGGGAGCGAAACG